AAGUCGUAACAAGGUAACCGUAGGUGAACCUGCGGUUGGAUCAUUAGUGGUUUUUACGUAGCGCUGUUGUAGUGUUUCUGUGUGGUGUUUGUGUGUGGUCUUUGAGUUUGUUGUUGUUUGUCUUUUUGUUUGUCUGUUUUUGUGCAUUGUCUUGUGCAAUGUCUUGUGCAUUGCCUUGUGCAUUGUCUUGUGCAGUGCCUUGUGCGGUGCCUGGCAGUACAAACGAUCGACGGCAACACUCGGACCAGACCCAAGCCCUUGCAGACAAUAGACGUCUUUGCUUGCUUUGAUGAAACCAAAUCAAAAACAACUUUUGACAACGGAUCUCUUGGCUCUC
RNAcentral lists this unclassified non-coding RNA (337 nucleotides) under fungal sp. Its description in RNAcentral is "partial internal transcribed spacer region". The stretch from base 1 to 46 matches the Rfam family "Eukaryotic small subunit ribosomal RNA", at positions 1786 to 1831 of the family's 1831-position model. The record is from RNAcentral. Lineage: Eukaryota; Fungi.